AUUGAACGCUGGCGGCAGGCCUAACACAUGCAAGUCGAGCGGAAACGAGUUAUCUGAACCUUCGGGGAACGAUAACGGCGUCGAGCGGCGGACGGGUGAGUAAUGCCUAGGAAAUUGCCCUGAUGUGGGGGAUAACCAUUGGAAACGAUGGCUAAUACCGCAUGAUGCCUACGGGCCAAAGAGGGGGACCUUCGGGCCUCUCGCGUCAGGAUAUGCCUAGGUGGGAUUAGCUAGUUGGUGAGGUAAGGGCUCACCAAGGCGACGAUCCCUAGCUGGUCUGAGAGGAUGAUCAGCCACACUGGAACUGAGACACGGUCCAGACUCCUACGGGAGGCAGCAGUGGGGAAUAUUGCACAAUGGGCGCAAGCCUGAUGCAGCCAUGCCGCGUGUAUGAAGAAGGCCUUCGGGUUGUAAAGUACUUUCAGUCGUGAGGAAGGUAGUGUAGUUAAUAGCUGCAUUAUUUGACGUUAGCGACAGAAGAAGCACCGGCUAACUCCGUGCCAGCAGCCGCGGUAAUACGGAGGGUGCGAGCGUUAAUCGGAAUUACUGGGCGUAAAGCGCAUGCAGGUGGUUUGUUAAGUCAGAUGUGAAAGCCCGGGGCUCAACCUCGGAAUAGCAUUUGAAACUGGCAGACUGGAGUACUGUAGAGGGGGGUAGAAUUUCAGGUGUAGCGGUGAAAUGCGUAGAGAUCUGAAGGAAUACCGGUGGCGAAGGCGGCCCCCUGGACAGAUACUGACACUCAGAUGCGAAAGCGUGGGGAGCAAACAGG
Molecule: ribosomal RNA, 769 nt
Filed under: uncultured Pseudoalteromonadaceae bacterium
Lineage: Bacteria; Pseudomonadati; Pseudomonadota; Gammaproteobacteria; Alteromonadales; Pseudoalteromonadaceae
Description: bacterial SSU rRNA
Rfam family: Bacterial small subunit ribosomal RNA
Source: RNAcentral